This is a long non-coding RNA of Passer domesticus (house sparrow), 699 nucleotides long. RefSeq lists it as uncharacterized. Lineage: Eukaryota; Metazoa; Chordata; Aves; Passeriformes; Passeridae. The record is from RefSeq and is a predicted model, not a curated record. The transcript has 3 exons.
GGUUUUCAUUGUCAUUCUUUGUAGCAUUUGUCUCUAUACUUUCUCUAUUCUUUAGUAUAGUUCAGUAUAGCAUUCUUUAACAUAAUAUCAUAUAAUAAAAUAAUAGAUUAACCUUCUAAGAACAUGGGAUCAGAUUUCAUCAUUCCUCCCUCCCUUCGUCCUGAAGACCCUGAAAUUACCACGGGAUGGCUGCAGCUAACUGAGAGGGAGGUCUGCAGGGCUGGGUUCUGAGUGCACUGUGGGUUGGCUGUGCUGCAGAGAGGUGCAGGAGUCAGUGCUGCCCAAGACACCCAGCUUUCAGCAGCAGUGUGUCCCACACAAGUAGUGGGCAUAAGAGUCACUCUUUCAGCUGCAUAGAUAGCUCUAGUUGCUAUCUGACAUGGUAACAGGGCAUUCAAAUCACUGCAACUGGAUGGGAAAGGGAACUUUGAGAGGCCAGUAAGCACCAACCCCCAAAAUAUCUGGACCUGCUGGACCUGCUCUGAGUUUGAUGAACUCAUAAACGAGAGACCCAGACAAGAAGCACUUUGCUAUCAGCCUGGGGAAUUCAGUCAGACACAGUCCAGCAAGCUCAUCCAUAGUUGCUCUGCACUCCCCAGUGCUACUCUCAUUUCUCACCCCAAACACAGGAGAUUGAGGCAGUAACAAAAUCUCAGCAUCACAAAAGCGAGUUGCCAGGGCUGGUGCACAGUCAGUGAU